RNAcentral lists this unclassified non-coding RNA (1289 nucleotides) under Diabrotica virgifera virgifera (western corn rootworm). RNAcentral describes it as "gastrula zinc finger protein XlCGF57.1-like". The record is from RNAcentral. Lineage: Eukaryota; Metazoa; Arthropoda; Insecta; Coleoptera; Chrysomelidae.
AAGAAGAAUGGCGGGUAUAUAAAAAAAUUUAUCUUUUUAUUAUUUACUCUACUCGAUGCUAUAAAAACUUAAAAACUAUAGCAAGAAGGCAAGAACACUAACGACUAACGAUCACUUUAGUUAUUUAUUUAAUGUGGAUUUAAUGCACAUAGUCUUGUGGAUUUGGUGUCCAUUUUUUGUUACUGAAUUGGUAAAAUCCAAAAUUUCUUUACAGUACAGUAGCAAGUAGGUAUGGAGAAGCAGGAAGACAAUUACACAACAAAUGAAGUAUUCAAUAUAAAAAGCGAAACUGAAUUAGAGAACAAUGGUGUGAACAAUACAGAAUUUCCAGUUAUCAUAAAAAAUGAAUUAAAACAAAUGCUUCUACCUGAAGAUGAUACAACUAAUGAAGAUUCCAAGUGUUGGUUCAACCAAAUGAAUACCGCAGUAUCCAUUGAAAAUGUAAAACAUGAACAAAUUGAAGAUGAUAGUGAUUUGAUGAACUGUAAAAAUUUGAAGUCCGAGCCGAAGAUUAAGGAAGAGGAAGAUGUAAUUGAAGAAAACCAGAGUCAAUGUGUUGUACUCGUUUUAUGCAAAAGUUCUUUUCAGAACUCUGCUAAAAUUAAAAACUGGAAAGCAUGUAGUUUAAGAGCAAAUUAUCCGGACGGGCUAUUAGUUGUCAAAGCCGAGAAAUAAUUGCUAAUGUGUUAGCCUUUAUGAAAAAGGAAGUUGAAGAAGGUGUCACAAUACCUCACCAUCGCAUAAAAGAGCGUGUGGCAGCAGCGACAGGUGUUUCCGAAAGUACAAUUUACAGAGUCUCAGUUGAACAAACAAAAAUUGAAGACGGACAAUGCUCAUCGUUUUCCUCUCCAAGAAAACAUAUUGUAAAAGAAAAAAAGAUGCAGACUAUUGACGAUGUCGACAAAGGGGUUUUAAGGCAUAUUAUUCAUAAUAUGCAUAUAAGUGAUGCAGAAGUACCUCAGCUGAAGAAUAUUCUUUCUAAAGUCAAAGAUCAUGUAGGAUAUCAAGGUAGUCAAGAAUCUUUAAGAUUAAUUAUAAGAGACAUUGGAUUCCGUUGGGAGAAAAACAAAAACCAAUAGAAAACUUCUAAUGGAGAGACAUGACAUCCAAAAGCUUCGUAUACACUAUUUAAAAGCUAUUAAUAGGUACCGAGAAGAAGGUCGCCCUAUAGUGUAUAUGGAUGAAACAUACAUCCACUCAACACAUACCACACGCAAAAGUUGGAGUGAUGAUUCGAAGGAAGGUGUAAGCAGCCCACAUCAAAAGGAAAUCGUUUGAAUAUUGUGCAU